GUGAGGAAUAUUGGUCAAUGGGCGCAAGCCUGAACCAGCCAUCCCGCGUGCAGGAAGACGGCGCUAUGCGUUGUAAACUGCUUUUCCAGGGAGAGAAACUUGCGCACGUGUUGCGCAAUUGACGGUACCCUGGGAAUAAGCAUCGGCUAACUCCGUGCCAGCAGCCGCGGUAAUACGGAGGAUGCGAGCGUUAUCCGGAUUCAUUGGGUUUAAAGGGUGCGUAGGCGGACUAUUAAGUCAGUGGUGAAAUCCUGCAGCUUAACUGCAGAACUGCCAUUGAUACUGAUAGCCUUGAGUUUGGUUAAGGUAGGCGGAAUGUGUAAUGUAGCGGUGAAAUGCUUAGAUAUUACACAGAACACCAAUUGCGUAGGCAGCUUACUGAGCCGACACUGACGCUGAGGCACGAAAGCGUGGGGAUCGAACAGGAUUAGAAACCCGGGUAGUCC
RNAcentral lists this ribosomal RNA (446 nucleotides) under uncultured bacterium. RNAcentral describes it as "partial 16S ribosomal RNA". It matches the Rfam family "Bacterial small subunit ribosomal RNA", at positions 354 to 796 of the family's 1533-position model. The record is from RNAcentral.